CAGCCGCGCGGUAAUACGUAGGUGGCAAGCGUUGUCCGGAAUUAUUGGGCGUAAAGGGCUCGCAGGCGGUUUCUUAAGUCUGAUGUGAAAGCCCCCGGCUCAACCGGGGAGGGUCAUUGGAAACUGGGAAACUUGAGUGCAGAAGAGGAGAGUGGAAUUCCACGUGUAGCGGUGAAAUGCGUAGAGAUGUGGAGGAACACCAGUGGCGAAGGCGACUCUCUGGUCUGUAACUGACGCUGAGGAGCGAAAGUGUGGGGAGCGAACAGGAUUAGAUACCCCUGUAGUCCCUGUCUCUUAUACA
This 301-nucleotide ribosomal RNA is filed under the name uncultured bacterium. Its description in RNAcentral is "partial 16S ribosomal RNA". It matches the Rfam family "Bacterial small subunit ribosomal RNA", at positions 509 to 808 of the family's 1533-position model. The record is from RNAcentral.